Molecule: non-coding RNA, 4533 nt
Organism: Triticum urartu
Lineage: Eukaryota; Viridiplantae; Streptophyta; Magnoliopsida; Poales; Poaceae
Source: RefSeq, a predicted model, not a curated record
AAAAGCCCAUUGGUCGCCCAAACCCCACAGCCGCACACCCCGCCUCCUUCCUCCCUCACUCGUCUCAGCCGCACGAACCCUAGCCGCCGCCCCACCCGCAUCCGUCCUCCAUCCCUGGUACGAGCUCUGCCCCGAGCUCUUCCUCCUCCGUCCUCACAUGCUCCACCCCGAGCCCCACCUCUUCCAGCCCACCCGGACUUCGCCUCGUCCAUUCGCGCAUCAGUUCAAGGGCAGGGCCAGAGAGCCGUGGCGAGUUAGAGGAAGGCAAAGGCGGAGCAGAGGAAAUCAAGAAGGUCAGGAGGCGAUGGAGGGAGCGCACGGCCGAAUGAACCCGAGCCGGCUAGCCCCCAACCCACAGCUGCCACAAUCCUCCCUCCUCACUUCCUCAUCAACACAGGCGCUCGCGCCCCUCCCCUUUCCCUCCUUCCCGCAGCCCCAAGAGCUCUGCCACCGCAUUUGACGAGAUCCACCACCUCCCUGAGGUCCUUAUCCACCCCAGGUCACGAGGAAGCCGCGAAAGGAGGAGAUCAGCUGGGUGUCACCGGCCGGAGAAGGAGGAGAGGCGCGGAUGCCAGCCAAGGAGGCAGAUCGGCUUGCCUCUACUACACCGUGAGCGUAGCCGCUGCCUCUGCACCCACCUUGCUCGGCCAUCAUGGGAGGAGGCUCACCAUCGAAGAGCAGCCGCAGGUGCCACACCAUUACAAGAGCUGCGGCCAGUAGGAGGUGAUGAUGCGUCGCCCCAUUGACAAGAGCAGGGCGGCGGAUUAGUCGAGGGUGCCUGCAUGGCCACGCCACCGCUGCAGCCCGGAGUCGCCUUGGGCGCCGCCUCGAGUGACCUCCAUCGCCGCCCCGAGUCAACUCCACCACUGCUGCCAGGAAUCCCGUCCCCAGCGAGGGAGUGAGUCAAGUGACAUACAGACACAAGAAAUAUUCAGUUAUGAGGAUUGAAGAAAUUAAUGAUCAUUCAGUCAUUGAGGAUUUGAGAAGAGCCAUCAAUGCAGUAGAGGUGUUAUUGAAGUUGUGGCUGUCAAUAGUCCUUUUAUUGAUGCUAAGUACAUGAGGGAAAGAAGAAGUCUGAAUGCGCCAACAAGUAGCGACCAAUGAGCUGUCGUCUAUAGAUUGGCUAAGGGAGGAGUUGUCUUGUGCUGCAAGGGCAUCUUGCAGAUCGAUUUCCUUGGUUUGAUGUGUCUCAGAUUCUAAUUAGUAUUUAAUUUCCUUAGUUUUAACUUAUAACCGGACAGAAAUUGUUAUUGCACCUGAAUAUUUGAUUAUGAAUCUAAGUUAUGGGAAAUAGGUGGAGUAAGAGGAAAUGAGGCGUUGUUCGAUGGGGCCUUGCCACGGUUGCCUUGAGUUUUUGCAUCAAAGCACCACUUUGUAUGGCUAGCCUUCCAUGGCUACAUCGAGGGUCCCAAUCUGCAGGCGAGCUCUUCUUUUCAUCUGCAGAUAUACCACGAAGGGAAGAUCUGCCUCACUGUGCACUUCAGGCGCGCGCACACUGGCAAUGGUAUAGGAUUGGCUUCCUGGUGGAAUCAGGUGCGUGUCGUCCAUGGUGGCCUGUCGUGGGUGUUAGUGGGCGGCUGGAGGCGGCUGUAGCAGGUCGAUUUAUCUGACUACUGAAAAUGAGCUUCAGAAUAUCUGUAGAACGUAGCCCACUUCCAGGCAAAUAUCAAUUAUGAUAAAUCCACCAUGUACCAUGAUCAUUUGAACAGUCUUGCUUAAGUUUAUGUUAGCCCUGUAUGCUAAUUUGAGGAGAUUGUUAACUUUAAGGUGCGAACAUUUAUAAAAUAAUAAUUGUACCGUUUUUUGGGAUUUUGUGAUUCCUAUGGAAUUAAGAGGUCAUCUAUUGGCCUAUCCCUAUUUGUAAUUUCAAAUAGUUAUUUUUUGGUGCACUUCUAUUUUAGAAAUGAAUUAGUAGACAAUUAUGCUUGAUGUUUGUAUAAAUACACAAGGAGGAGUGCUCAGGGGAGGACGACAGUUGUUUGUAUAAAUGCACAAGGAGGAGUGCUUAGCGGAGGACGAUAGCUUUCAGGUGUACAUGGAGGAGGUGAAGGCGACUACAGAGGAGCUUGCCGUAGCUGUCACCUGCUCCGGGAAUCCUCCUGACAGAAGCACAAUGCCAUGUCCUAGAGUUUGUUCACGUACUUCUAUCUGCCUAUAAUAUAUGCUGACAAUUAUAUGUGACUGAUUAAUUAACUAAAACUUGAGAGGUUAAGGACAAGUGUUUUCAAAUGAAGGAAUAUAGUGUACGUGCAGCUAAUUACAUACACAUAUGCAUCAUUCCAUAAUAAUUGGAAGUUUGGAUAUUAGGUAUUUUUUAAAGACCAGGGAUCCUAAUUAGCCAUUCCCAUACCAUAGUUUUCACUGUAUGUAUCUCAUGAACAUUAUCAUUAUGCUCUGUACCAAAAUUGUCACUCUAUCUCAUCAUUGUUUGGAGUAUACCUUUGCAGCUCCAUAGUUAUUAGAAUGGUUUUACUUGCACAUAAUAGCCUUGUUCAAAUAAAAUCACAAGACCUUUGUAAGCUUGCUUAGUUACUAUGGAGAAGGGCCUUCUUCCAAGGAGCUGUAGAUUUUGAAUAUGCUCCUGGUUGGACACUUUUUUCACUAUAUGUACAGAAUAGGGGUAGGGAAGAGCGCAACUUAGGUUUUGGGGCAGGCCUCACUAGCAAUUAUGACAUCCUCUUAUUUGGUUGCAGGUUACUUGCCUUCUUCUUUCAGCCCAUCUCAAGAAUUAUAGUGCAGUUUUUGUGGAGAGCCCAUGUUGGUUUGCUUGAUUUAUGUUCAAAAUGGACAAUACAAUGCUAUUUGAGUCAAGUUUGUAUAUAUUCCAAGUACUCCUUUAUUAUUUAUCAACUGAGGCAUGAUUGUUGUUGCACUUAUUACUAAAAAUAAUCCUGGUGUUAUUUUCUUUGAGAAAAGAAAUAGACGGCUCAGAUGUGUGCUUCUUAGCAUCACAUCAAAUUGAAUAAUCAAAUAGGGUUAUAUAUCAUCAUAUCUGCAUACAUAAUAUCUUCUGUAAUUAUAUACCCGUGUAGGCUCUUGUUGUUAGAUGAUGAACUUAUGUUAUUUUAUGCCAAGUAGUUAAAUUUGUGUGCACCUUCUCAUGUGUUUACUUGUUUCUGCUUUUAUAGUAUGGCUUGGUCCUGUUGUGAAAAAAGAUCUUGAUAUGUUUGACUAUUCUGUUUUUUUCUUUAUCCAAUGACCUAUUAAUGUGCUUUGAGCAUAUGACAAUUGUUUCCUCACUAUCUUAGAUUAGUAGUAAUCCUUCUUUUAUGUUUCUGCAAUUUCAGUUCCUGCCUUUUGAAAUUUCCUUUGCAUUCUGUAUCUGCACAUCCCCUCUUGUGGUCUGUUGUAAUGGUCUACUGAACAGCCAUAUCAUGCUAUGAUUGCAUCGUUGCAUGACAAUGUACCAUAUGCUCAUGCAUUUCUUUUCUUACCAAUGUUGUCCUGAUGAGUUGGCUGGCUUACAUGUGCACCCUCCGUCCUAAAAUAAGUGUCUCAACUCUGUUAUAAAGUUGUACUAGAGUUGAGACACUUAUUUUGGGGCUAAGGGAGUAGUCUGUUGUGAAGGUCUACUUGUUUUAGGUAGCAUUGCUUUCUGGAAUACGUCAUUGGAACCUGGUAACAUUCAUUGGUUAUAGUCAGCAAGACAGGAAGAACAUACUUGUGUAUGAGUUCAUGCACAACGAAAGGACUAACUUAGCUGAUGGUAAAUUUUCUCUGUGGAAUCAACAACACGCUCAUGUAUAUACACAUACGAUUCUUUCGCAGCAAAACUUUGUCCAUGCAGUUGUAUUUCAGAUCUUUAGAACUACAAGGUAGUUUCUAUAUUUGCCGAUUCAGGUUGUCUUAGGUUGCAGCUCCCCGUCCAGCUACCGUGUACCCCAUAUCCUUUGAAGAGGAUAAAUCUGAAUGAAAACUUGGAAUUACCUAAUAGGUGCAUACAUGAACUAUUGAUGAUGUGAAUAGAAACGCAUGUAGUAGCGCUGACCUUUGGCAACCUUCACGUCGUGCCUCCAAGGAAGACCAUGAGUGAUGGUUGUCGUGAUGUUGGCCUUGCAAAAAAAUAGGGCUUUGCUGACUGGUGACUGGCUAUAGUUUGUGUUUGUUGUUUACAUGUCAGUUUUUAACAAUUUGACCUAUCUUUUAAAGACAGUAUAGUUCACAAAAGGAAACUUUUUACAGAAAAUAUAUGGGUUUAUAUUAGACCAUUCUAGACCAUAUCUCUUUAAUACACAGUUUAUUAUAUUUUCUGUUUUUAAAUAUGAGAGUGCCAAUCUUACUUAGUGGCAUUGCUAUGCUUCACAAUAUACAAUAUUUUGCAUGCCUGUAUAAUUCAUAAGUGGUUUUUCAUAUUCAGGUGUUCUUAAUAUGGUGAGUGAUUGAAGGGGAGGCAUGAGGAGAGAGUAAUCCAAAGGGCGGAUGGAGCAUGUAACUUGUUGAUGUUAGUUUCCAUUUCCGGAAAGAACAAAUUUUCUAUGAUUUGAGUGUAUGUUGAUGUGUCAAAGUCAAUCAUUUGGAUUCCCAACUAGACUA